This 613-nucleotide long non-coding RNA is filed under the name Phoenix dactylifera (date palm). RNAcentral describes it as "long non-coding RNA (PDAC_LNC020593)". The record is from RNAcentral. Lineage: Eukaryota; Viridiplantae; Streptophyta; Magnoliopsida; Arecales; Arecaceae.
AGGCAAAAUAAAUUGAUUCUGAUUUAUCUUUUAUUUUGUCUAACAUUAGUACAUAAUGUCCUCCAAUUUGUACCAAAAUUCAAUAUGAAUUACAAAGAUUCUGGAUGUGCUCUAAUGUUCUUGAAAUAUGUGUUUUCAAUCUUAAUAAUUUAAGAUGAGCUACAAUGUAGAAGAUGCAUAUCUCAAAUUAUAAUCCUGAGCCAAUUCAUUUUAAUUGAUUUUGAUACUAUGAUCUUUAAAGGAGUAAAAGAAAGUUUUUAAGAGAGCUCUAAAAGAAAUUUCAAAGCCUUGAAUUUUAUGUAUCCUACACUGCAUAAAUUCAUGUUUUGGUAUAUAUGCCCCAAUACUUUUAUAUCAUGAAAGAACUUUGAAGUCAUUAAGAAUUAAGGAUUCAACAUAAUCUUAUGUUUUUCGAGUAUAUAAGUUUUGAUCUUUAUUUGUUCUUAUACUAUACUCUGAAAAUUAAUUAGAUUGCUCUCAUCUUGUUAUAUACUUAAUAUAUAUAUAUAUAUAUAAAGAUGUUGAAUUUUCAUUCGUGCCUUCUUUGAAUAUUAUUCUUGAUACUCCUUGAAAUAACUUGAAAAAGAUUCCAUCUACACUUGAUUUGAAAAAU